AAGAGACUCUCAGAAGUAGACUGAAGAGGAAUUAUGGCCUCUCUUUUGCAGAUGACAGCACUGAGAUACAGAACCUUUGUCUGUGAGGAGAGUCACAGCAGAAAGUGGAUUUCUUUUUGAUGCUGCCAUGGUACUGCUUGACUACCCAAUGCCCACCUUCUCCCCUGUAUCCUGCAUCACACUGUGCACAUCCUGUAUUCCUCUCCUACACUGGGCUGUGAGUUUAACGAGCCCUUGCUCAAGAUGUUGGGUAUGAUGUACACUCCUACCAUGAUGUGCCAGUUACCUGCCACCAUCAUCAGAGACCAAAACAAAUGGGACCAUCUGGUCUUCUAUGGUGAGCCUUGACAUAAGAACAGCCAUGAUUCACCUUUGAUUAAACCUGGACCCAGCCUACGUGCCUGUGCCAUGGCAGCCUGUUGUCUGAUUCCCAGUGGGUAGCCCAUCACCCUAUGUUGCCAUAGUAAUGUAACCCAUAAUAGUUGUUUUGUAGAGCAUUGUGACCUUUGCAGUCAGCUACACCCUGUUCACACUUAUGGUUUCGGUUUUAGCCUAUAUCUACUCCACCC
This 569-nucleotide long non-coding RNA is filed under the name Fukomys damarensis (Damara mole-rat). RNAcentral's name for it is "lncRNA (ENSFDAG00000024212.1)". The record is from RNAcentral. Lineage: Eukaryota; Metazoa; Chordata; Mammalia; Rodentia; Bathyergidae.